CCUACGGGUGGCAGCAGUAAGGAAUAUUGCGCAAUGGGCGAAAGCCUGACGCAGCGACGCCGCGUGGGGGAUGAAGGUCUUCGGAUUGUAAACCCCUUUCGGCAGGGAAGAUGGGAUGGGUAACCAUUCGGACGGUACCUGCAGAAGCAGCCACGGCUAACUUCGUGCCAGCAGCCGCGGUAAUACGAAGGUGGCAAGCGUUGUUCGGAUUCACUGGGCGUACAGGGAGCGUAGGCGGUUGGGUAAGCCCUCCGUGAAAUCUCCGGGCCUAACCCGGAAAGUGCAGAGGGGACUGCUCAGCUAGAGGAUGGGAGAGGAGCGCGGAAUUCCCGGUGUAGCGGUGAAAUGCGUAGAGAUCGGGAGGAAGGCCGGUGGCGAAGGCGGCGCUCUGGAACAUUUCUGACGCUGAGGCUCGAAAGCGUGGGGAGCAAACAGGAUUAGAUACCCUUGUAGUC
Molecule: ribosomal RNA, 455 nt
Filed under: uncultured bacterium
Lineage: Bacteria
Description: bacterial SSU rRNA
Rfam family: Bacterial small subunit ribosomal RNA
Source: RNAcentral